UAGGGAAUAUUGCACAAUGGGGGAAACCCUGAUGCAGCGACGCCGCGUGAGUGAUGAAGGCCUUCGGGUCGUAAAGCUCUGUCGUAUGGGAAUAACAUAAUGAAUGUACCAUGCAAGAAAGGAUCGGCUAACUUCGUGCCAGCAGCCGCGGUAAGACGAGGGAUCCUAGCGUUGUUCGGAAUUAUUGGGCGUAAAGCGGGUGUAGGCGGACUUAUAAGUCAGGUGUGAAAUCCCAGGGCUCAACCCUGGAAGUGCACUUGAUACUGCAAGUCUUGAGUGUGGUAGAGGCUAUUAGAAUUCUUGGUGUAGUGGUGAAAUACGUAGAUAUCAAGAGGAAUACCGGAGGCGAAGGCGGAUAGCUGGGCCAACACUGACGCUGAGACCCGAAAGCGUGGGGAUCAAACAGGAUUAGAUACCCCAGUAGUCCCUGAGCGGGCUGGCAAGGCGCAU
RNAcentral lists this ribosomal RNA (450 nucleotides) under uncultured bacterium. RNAcentral describes it as "bacterial SSU rRNA". It matches the Rfam family "Bacterial small subunit ribosomal RNA", at positions 355 to 825 of the family's 1533-position model. The record is from RNAcentral.